GUGAGGAAUAUUGGUCAAUGGGCGAGAGCCUGAACCAGCCAAGUCGCGUGAAGGAAGAAGGAUCUAUGGUUCGUAAACUUCUUUUGCAGGGGAAUAAAGUGCGGGACGUGUCCUGUUUUGUAUGUACCCUGAGAAUAAGGAUCGGCUAACUCCGUGCCAGCAGCCGCGGUAAUACGGAGGAUCCGAGCGUUAUCCGGAUUUAUUGGGUUUAAAGGGUGCGUAGGUGGUUUGAUAAGUCAGCGGUGAAAGUUUGCAGCUUAACUGUAAAAUUGCCGUUGAAACUGUCGAUCUUGAGUGCAAAUGAGGUAAGCGGAAUGUGUUGUAUAGCGGUGAAAUGCUUAGAUAUAACACAGAACACCGAUUGCGAAGGCAGCUUACUGGGAUGCAACUGACGCUCAUGCACGAAAGCGUGGGGAUCAAACAGGAUUAGAUACCCUGGUAGUCC
This 445-nucleotide ribosomal RNA is filed under the name uncultured bacterium. RNAcentral's name for it is "partial 16S ribosomal RNA". It matches the Rfam family "Bacterial small subunit ribosomal RNA", at positions 354 to 796 of the family's 1533-position model. The record is from RNAcentral.